GAUGAACGCUAGCGGGAGGCCUAACACAUGCAAGCCGAGCGGUAUUGUUUCUUCGGAAAUGAGAGAGCGGCGUACGGGUGCGUAACACGUGUGCAACCUGCCUUUAUCUGGGGGAUAGCCUUUCGAAAGGAAGAUUAAUACUCCAUAAUAUAUUGAACGGCAUCGUUUAAUAUUGAAAGCUCCGGCGGAUAGAGAUGGGCACGCGCAAGAUUAGCUAGUUGGUGAGGUAACGGCUCACCAAGGCGAUGAUCUUUAGGGGGCCUGAGAGGGUGAUCCCCCACACUGGUACUGAGACACGGACCAGACUCCUACGGGAGACAGCAGUGAGGAAUAUUGGUCAAUGGGUGCAAGCCUGAACCAGCCAUCCCGCGGGAAGGACGACUGUCCUAUGGGUUGUAAACUUCGUUUGUAUAGGGAUAAACCUACCCUCGAGAGGGUAGCUGAAGGUACUAUACGAAUAAGCACCGGCUAACUCCGU
This 478-nucleotide ribosomal RNA is filed under the name uncultured bacterium. RNAcentral's name for it is "partial 16S ribosomal RNA". It matches the Rfam family "Bacterial small subunit ribosomal RNA", at positions 28 to 506 of the family's 1533-position model. The record is from RNAcentral.